GACGAACGCUGGCGGCGUGCCUAAUACAUGCAAGUAGAACGCACAGUUUAUACCGUAGCUUGCUACACCAUAAACUGUGAGUUGCGAACGGGUGAGUAACGCGUAGGUAACCUGCCUGGUAGCGGGGGAUAACUAUUGGAAACGAUAGCUAAUACCGCAUAAUAUUGAUUAUUGCAUGAUAAUUGAUUGAAAGAUGCUAUUGCAUCACUACCAGAUGGACCUGCGUUGUAUUAGCUAGUAGGUGAGGUAACGGCUCACCUAGGCGACGAUACAUAGCCGACCGGAGAGGGUGAUCGGCCACACUGGGACUGAGACACGGCCCAGACUCCUACGGGAGGCAGCAGUAGGGAAUCUUCGGCAAUGGACGAAAGUCUGACCGAGCAACGCCGCGGGAGUGAAGAAGGGUUUCGGAUCGUAAAGCUCUGUUGUAAGAGAAGAACGGGUGUGAGAGUGGAAAGUUCACACUGUGACGGUAGCUUACCAGAAAGGGACGGCUAACUACGUG
This 505-nucleotide ribosomal RNA is filed under the name uncultured bacterium. RNAcentral's name for it is "partial 16S ribosomal RNA". It matches the Rfam family "Bacterial small subunit ribosomal RNA", at positions 28 to 507 of the family's 1533-position model. The record is from RNAcentral.